GCCCAAGUAGUAUAGUGGUUAGUACUCCACUUCGUGGCCGUGGCGAUGCAGGUUGGAUUCCUGUCUUGGGCG
This is a non-coding RNA of Angiostrongylus costaricensis, 72 nucleotides long. NCBI's taxonomy places the organism in Eukaryota, Metazoa, Nematoda, Chromadorea, Rhabditida, Metastrongylidae. The record is from Rfam.